RNAcentral lists this ribosomal RNA (498 nucleotides) under uncultured bacterium. RNAcentral describes it as "partial 16S ribosomal RNA". It matches the Rfam family "Bacterial small subunit ribosomal RNA", at positions 28 to 507 of the family's 1533-position model. The record is from RNAcentral.
GAUGAACGCUGGCGGUGUGCCUAAUACAUGCAAGUCGAGCGAACAGACGAGGAGCUUACUCCUCUGACGUUAGCUGCGAACGGGUGAGUAACACGUGGAUAACCUACCUAUAAGACUGGGAUAACUUCGGGAAACCGGAGCUAAUACCGGAUAACAUUUGGAACCGCAUGGUUCAACAUUGAAAGACGGUCUUGCUGUAAUUUAUAGAUGGAUCGGCUUCUAAUUAGCUAUUUGUGAAGGUAACGGCUUACUAAGGCAACGAUCCGUAGCCGACCGGAGAGGGUGAUCGGCCACACUGGGACUGAGACACGGCCCAGACUCCUACGGGAGGCAGCAGUAGGGAAUCUUCGGCAAUGGGGGGAACCCUGACCGAGCAACGCCGGGUGAGUGAAGAAGGUUUUCGGAUCGUAAGGCUCUGUUGUAAGGCAAGAACGAGUUUGAGAGUGGAAAGUUCACGCUGUGAGGGUAGCUUACCAGAAAGGGACGGCUAACUACGUG